RNAcentral lists this ribosomal RNA (231 nucleotides) under uncultured fungus. RNAcentral's name for it is "partial small subunit ribosomal RNA". The stretch from base 117 to 231 matches the Rfam family "Eukaryotic small subunit ribosomal RNA", at positions 748 to 864 of the family's 1831-position model. The record is from RNAcentral. Lineage: Eukaryota; Fungi.
GGCCUGACCGGGUGGUCCGUCGCUUCGGUGACGUGUACUGCCUUGGGUCGGGCCCUGCCUCUUGGGGAACACGGACUUGGGUGGGCUUUCGGGUCUGCCUGUCCGUGCAAGCCAAGACGUUUACCUUGAAAAAAUUAGAGUGUUCAAAGCGGGCGCACGCUUGCAUAGAUUAGCAUGGAAUAAUGGAAUAGGACCAGUGGUCUUGUUUUGUUGGUUUCGUUGACCGCGGUA